UCUGGCUGCAUCCCGAGCUUCAGGUCUCGUCUUCACUGGUCUGUGGCCUAUUCUCCUGGAACCCCAGCCUCUGUGGCCCUGUGACCUGCAGGUAUUGGGAGAUCCACAGCUAAAACCCCAGGACCCCCUGGAAGCCUAGAAAUGUUCUUCAGAAGAUCAGUAAAAUCAAACUUCUCCGAGCUAAAGGAGGAUGUUCGCAUCCAUCACAAAGAAGCUGGAAACCUUGAAAAAAGAUUAGAUGAAUGGCUAACUACAAUGGACAGUGUAGAGAAGACCUUAAAUGACCUGAUAGAGCUGAAAACCAUGGCCCAAGAACUACGUGAUGAAUGCAGAAGCUUGAGAAACCAAUGUCAUCAACUGGAAGAAAAAAUAUCAGUGAUUGUUAAAAGGAAUGAAAUGAAGCAAGAAGAGAAGUUUACAGAUAAAAGAAUAAAAAGAAAUGAACAAAGCCUCCAAGAAAUAUGGGACUAUGUGAAAAGACCAAAUCUACGUCUGAUUGGUGUACCUGAAAGUGAUGGGGAGAAUGGAACCAAGUUGGAAAACACUGCAGGAUAUUAUCCAGGAGAACUUCCCCAAUCUAGCAAGGCAGGCCAACAUUCAAAUUCAGGAAAUACAG
RNAcentral lists this non-coding RNA (616 nucleotides) under Pongo abelii (Sumatran orangutan). Lineage: Eukaryota; Metazoa; Chordata; Mammalia; Primates; Hominidae. The record is from RNAcentral.